This 254-nucleotide ribosomal RNA is filed under the name uncultured bacterium. Its description in RNAcentral is "partial 16S ribosomal RNA". It matches the Rfam family "Bacterial small subunit ribosomal RNA", at positions 524 to 776 of the family's 1533-position model. The record is from RNAcentral.
UACGUAGGGUGCAAGCGUUGUCCGGAAUUAUUGGGCGUAAAGAGCUCGUAGGCGGCCUGUUACGUCUGCUGUGAAAUCCCGAGGCUCAACCUCGGGCCUGCAGUGGGUACGGGCAGACUAGAGUGCGGUAGGGGAGAUUGGAAUUCCUGGUGUAGGCGGUGGAAUGCGCAGAUAUCAGGAGGAACACCAAUGGCGAAGGCAGAUCUCUGGGCCGUAACUGACGCUGAGGAGCGAAAGCAUGGGGAGCGAACAGG